GAUGAACGCUGGCGGCGUGCCUAAUACAUGCAAGUCGAGCGAACGGACGAGAAGCUUGCUUCUCUGUUGUUAGCGGCGGACGGGUGAGUAACACGUGGAUAACCUACCUAUAAGACUGGGAUAACUUCGGGAAACCGGAGCUAAUACCGGAUGAUAUUUUGAACCGCAUGGUUCAAAAGUGAAAGACGGUCUUGCUGUCACUAAUAGAUGGAUCCGCGCUGCAUUAGCUAGUUGGUAAGGUAACGGCUUACCAAGGCAACGAUGCAUAGCCGACCUGAAAGUGUGUUAGGCCACACUGGAACGGAGGCAGGGUCCAGACUCCUACGGGAGGCAGCGGUAGGGAAUCUUGGGCAAUGGGCGAAAGCCUGACGGAGUAAGGCCGCGUGAGUGAUGAAGGUCUUCGGACCGUAAAACUCUGUGAUUGGGGAAGAACAUAUGUGUAAGUAACUGUGCAUAUCGUGACGGUACCUAAUCAGAAAGCCACGGCUAACUACGUG
Molecule: ribosomal RNA, 497 nt
Filed under: uncultured bacterium
Lineage: Bacteria
Description: partial 16S ribosomal RNA
Rfam family: Bacterial small subunit ribosomal RNA
Source: RNAcentral